AUGCACAAGUCCACCUUGGGAAAAACGCAUUAUGGGCUCGAGUGGAUUCUGAAAGCUCUUCUAAUCACAUUUGUUCAUCUGUUCAUGUGGCAUACACCUGUGUGAAUUUGGCAUGGGCUCGGGUGCGGUAUAGGAGAAUUCAGGUUCAAAGCAAACUUCCAAACUUCCAAUUGUUGUUCCGUUCUCAGAGUGGCACAGACAAUUUCCUACUUCACCCAUGGAAAGACAGUAUUCUUAGCAUAUCUGUGAGCUGCUGUUGCCCUUUGGUAAAAAUAUUAACCUAGAUCAAAGGGCAUAGGUCUCAUUUGCACUUACUUUAAAGUAGACAGGGGGGAAAAUAUAAAGAUCUUUUGAAUUUCGUACUAGGAAAAAAAUAAGAUUUCACAGAUGGACUCCUCAUGGAUACAUCUUAUUAGUCUCUCUUUAGGAGAAUUGCAUUAAAAUGCUUUGGUUUGUAUGUGAGUAUUUCUUAACAUCCUGUAAAAGAUUUCUGUAUGUUUUAUCUUUUUCUUAUUUAUUUAUUUUUGUUUCUGUAUAUUUUAGAAAAACAUCUGAUAGCCAAGUUCAUGGAAAAAGGGAAGAAAUAGUAGAGGCUAAAGGAGGACAGAUAUAUUAAAAACAAACAUUUAGGCUGACAAAACUUCCCAGGUGACACAAAUGCACAGCCAGUCUUGAGAACUGAAUUCUCUAUUGUCCAUCCCAUAGACUUCGGCUGAUACCAAGCCUACUUCUGAGGUAAGGUAGGCUGGUAGGAUAAUGAGGUAGGCCUGUUUGGUUGGAUAAGGGGGGGAAAUUUGGGGAGGGAGCAAUAGGUGCAGGAGAGCUUGAAGACCAAGUUAAUGAUGGCCAGGGAAACAAUUCAGGGGGCUUUUGAUAGCCUCAGGAUUCUGGCCUCGCUCAACCUUUUAUUCUAGUUACAAACACCUUCUGGUCACACUAGACAUCAAGGGCCGUUUCCCUAGGUAGUUAUUGCUCUACAUUCCCUUCUUUUCUCUCAUUUGAUCCACAUUUCUCUUUGUCAAACACAAAUCAAUUUCAGUCCCUCCCAGAAAUCUGGCUGGCCUGUUUAGACCUAGUUACUCCAAAGAAACUUUAAUAAUUUAUUUAUUUUUUAAAAUAUUUAUUUACUUAUUUGAAAGGCAGAGUUAAAGAGAGGCAGAGGCAGAGAGAGAGAGACAGAGAAAGGUCUUCUGCUGGUUUACUCCCCAGAUGGCUGCAAUGGCUGGAGCUAAGCUAAUCCAGAGCCAAGAGCCAGGAGCCAGGAGCCAGGAGCCAGGAGCCAGGAACCAGGAGCCAGGAGCCAGGAGCCAGGAGCCAGGAGCCAGGAGCCUCUUCUGAGUUUCUCAUGUGGGUGCAGGGGUCCAAGGACUUGGGCCAUCUUAUACUGCUUUCUCAGGUCAUAGUAGAGAGCUGGAUUGGAAGUGAAACAGCUGGGACUCAUACCAGCUCCUAUAUGGGAUGCCAGCACUGCAGGUUAUGGUUUUACUUGCUUUACCACAGUCCAGCCCCAAUACUUUAAUAAUUUGAAGCUCUCUUUAUCCCAGAGUUAACCUAAAUUUUCAAAGUAGAUAGAGAUCUGCAGAUUCAAUGUUUAGUAUAUUGACUACUUCUUUUCC
This is a long non-coding RNA of Oryctolagus cuniculus (rabbit), 1616 nucleotides long. The record is from Ensembl. NCBI's taxonomy places the organism in Eukaryota, Metazoa, Chordata, Mammalia, Lagomorpha, Leporidae.